ACGCGCGGAACCUUACCAGGUCUUGACAUCCCUCUGACCGGUAUAGAGAUAUACCUUUCCUUCGGGACAGAGGAGACAGGUGGUGCAUGGUUGUCGUCAGCUCGUGUCGUGAGAUGUUGGGUUAAGUCCCGCAACGAGCGCAACCCUUGAUCUUAGUUGCCAGCAUUUAGUUGGGCACUCUAAGGUGACUGCCGGUGACAAACCGGAGGAAGGUGGGGAUGACGUCAAAUCAUCAUGCCCCUUAUGACCUGGGCUACACACGUGCUACAAUGGAUGGUACAAAGGGCUGCAAAGCGGUGACGCCUAGCAAAUCCCAUAAAACCAUUCUCAGUUCGGAUUGUAGGCUGCAACUCGCCUACAUGAAGCUGGAAUCGCUAGUAAUCGCGGAUCAGCAUGCCGCGGUGAAUACGUUCCCGGGCCUUGCACACACCGCCCGU
RNAcentral lists this ribosomal RNA (437 nucleotides) under uncultured bacterium. RNAcentral describes it as "bacterial SSU rRNA". It matches the Rfam family "Bacterial small subunit ribosomal RNA", at positions 959 to 1397 of the family's 1533-position model. The record is from RNAcentral.